Molecule: long non-coding RNA, 172 nt
Organism: Neopelma chrysocephalum (saffron-crested tyrant-manakin)
Lineage: Eukaryota; Metazoa; Chordata; Aves; Passeriformes; Pipridae
Exons: 2
Source: RefSeq, a predicted model, not a curated record
AAGCGAAAGGAUGAAUGCCUGCAGAAACACCUUCCUGCAGGCACAGCAGGUGGCUGUGCAGCACUCACUGGGGUGGUGUGCAUGGAGCCCUGACCCAGAGCUGUUAAAACCAGCAGUCAGUCAAGCGAGCAGAACAAGACUGGGAAUGCUAAACAUGGCACCCUCAAAAUCA